UACGUAGGGUGCGAGCGUUGUCCGGAAUUAUUGGGCGUAAAGAGCUCGUAGGCGGCUUGUCGCGUCGGAUGUGAAAGCCCGGGGCUUAACUCCGGGUCUGCAUUCGAUACGGGCAGGCUAGAGUUCGGUAGGGGAGAUCGGAAUUCCUGGUGUAGCGGUGAAAUGCGCAGAUAUCAGGAGGAACACCUAUAGCGAAGGCAGCUUGCUGGGACGUUACUGACGCUAAGGCGCGAAAGCGUGGGGAGCGAACAGG
This 253-nucleotide ribosomal RNA is filed under the name uncultured bacterium. RNAcentral describes it as "partial 16S ribosomal RNA". It matches the Rfam family "Bacterial small subunit ribosomal RNA", at positions 524 to 776 of the family's 1533-position model. The record is from RNAcentral.